CCUACGGGGGGCAGCAGUGGGGAAUAUUGCACAAUGGGGGAAACCCUGAUGCAGCGACGCCGCGUGAGUGAAGAAGUAUUUCGGUAUGUAAAGCUCUAUCAGCAGGGAAGAAAAUGACGGUACCUGAGUAAGAAGGCCCGGCUAACUACGGGCCAGCAGCCGCGGUAAUACGUAGGGGGCCAGCGUUAUCCGGAUGUACUGGGUGUAAAGGGAGCGUAGACGGCAGUGCAAGUCUGGAGUGAAAGGCGGGGGCUCAACCCCCGGACUGCUCUGGAAACUGUACGGCUGGAGUGCAGGAGAGGUAAGUGGAAUUCCUAGUGUAGCGGUGAAAUGCGUAGAUAUUAGGAGGAACACCAGUGGCGAAGGCGGCUUACUGGACUGUAACUGACGUUGAGGCUCGAAAGCGUGGGGAGCAAACAGGAUUAGAUACCCGAGUAGUC
Molecule: ribosomal RNA, 440 nt
Filed under: uncultured bacterium
Lineage: Bacteria
Description: partial 16S ribosomal RNA
Rfam family: Bacterial small subunit ribosomal RNA
Source: RNAcentral